This 492-nucleotide ribosomal RNA is filed under the name uncultured bacterium. RNAcentral's name for it is "partial 16S ribosomal RNA". It matches the Rfam family "Bacterial small subunit ribosomal RNA", at positions 29 to 507 of the family's 1533-position model. The record is from RNAcentral.
AGUGAACGCUGGCGGUAGGCCUAACACAUGCAAGUCGAACGGCAGCACAGUAAGAGCUUGCUCUUACGGGUGGCGAGUGGCGGACGGGUGAGGAAUACAUCGGAAUCUACUUUUUCGUGGGGGAUAACGUAGGGAAACUUACGCUAAUACCGCAUACGACCUAUGGGUGAAAGAAGGGGAUCUUCGGACCUUGCGCGAUUGAAUGAGCCGAUGUCGGAUUAGCUAGUUGGCGGGGUAAAGGCCCACCAAGGCGACGAUCCGUAGCUGGUCUGAGAGGAUGAUCAGCCACACUGGAACUGAGACACGGUCCAGACUCCUACGGGAGGCAGCAGUGGGGAAUAUUGGACAAUGGGCGCAAGCCUGAUCCAGCCAUACCGCGUGGGUGAAGAAGGCCUUCGGGUUGUAAAGCCCUUUUGUUGGGAAAGAAAAGCAGCAGGUUAAUACCCCGCUGUUCUGACGGUACCCAAAGAAUAAGCACCGGCUAACUUCGUG